Equus caballus (horse) is the source of this 2147-nucleotide long non-coding RNA. The record is from Ensembl. Lineage: Eukaryota; Metazoa; Chordata; Mammalia; Perissodactyla; Equidae.
GGUGAAAGUGAGCUCAGACGUAACCUAAACCCGUGGAGCUUGGCAGAAGAGAAGCAUCUGGUGAGAGGAGUGGAAUAAUCUCACUGCUUCCAGGGUUUCCCCAGAGGUGAGCUCUGGGGUUCACAACGGCUGGAUGUCUUUGCAGCUGUGUUCUACAGUCUGUCCUGGCCACCCUUUUGCUUCCGGAUACAAUUCAGUUUGUGAAGCAAGAGAGAGGCUCAGAGGAUGUCGGACCACAACAGUUAGAAGCUCGUGGCCUUCACUGCUAACCAACCACAAACAAACCAGUGAACACCCAUCCUGCUUUCACUCUGCAUUCUGUGCUGUGUGGAGGGAUUGUCUGCUGGCCCCUGGGAGGUGAAGUUCUGUGUUAGUCCUGGAGCACCUGCCUCCAUCCAUUGCUGGGGGUCGUUCUCUUGAUCAUCUCUUGGUGUGGCUGAGUGUUUCUACAAACAGAAACUCAUCGACAGACGUCCUCUGGUGCCCACUGACAAGCUAGCAGCAAACCCACCCAGCCUGCUGCUUUGUGGAUGCCGAUGGCAGUGUCCCUGAGUGCUUUUGGGGCACACCGCCUGUGUGUUAAAUAUCCUCUAAUAGCUAGAAGAGCCACCUAUUAUUUGGAAAGCCCAGCACCUGAGGAAGAGAGUCAGCGCCUCGCCUGUGGAAGGAGGUAUGAGGUGUGACUCUCAGGAACCACCAGUGGCCAGGAUCCCUCUGUGAGGUAGGGUCUCCUCCGCAGGGAGACACUGGCCUGCAGUCAUUACCUGACUCCAGGUGUUGCAGGAGCUCAGGGUAGUGCUUCUCAACCUUGCUGUGCUUAAGAGACACCUGGGGUCUUGGGCAGGUUCUGAUUUAAAUAAUCUGGGCUGGGACCAAGAUUCUGAAUUUCUGACCUGCUUUUAGGUGCUGCUGAGAGCUUCUGCUCAGCACACCACUCACAGUAACAAAGGCCCGGGUCAGGGUUUCUCAGCCUUGGCACUGUUGACACUUUGGGUCACAUUAUUCUUUGUUGUGGGGGCUGUCAAGUGUGUUGUAAGAUGCCUAGUACCAUUCCUGGCCUCUACUCACCUGGUGCCAGCAGUGCUCCUCCAGGUGUGAAAGAACCAGAAAUGUCUUCAGCCAUUGCAGAUAUCCAGGGAAUGGGGGUGUGGGGCAAAAUCAUCUCCAAUUGAGAACCACUGGCCUAGAUGCUUCUCUGCCCUUAGUUUGUUUUUCAAUGAUUCUUUGGAUUCUCUGAGCCAAUGAAUUUCCCUUUUGCUUAAGCUAGUUUAGUUAAAUAUUUAUGAACUUUUAAUUAAAUCUGACAAUUUACAUACAUGUAAGUAUGUAGUUAUGUAUGUGGUUUUACAUAUAUUGCCUGUGUACUCCACCAAGCUCUGUAAGUGUACAUGCCAUGUAUGUUUAUUUUAAUACUUAGCCUGGGGUCCAAUCUGUGGGAGGUAGUGGAUAAAUGCCAACUGAAUGAAUGAAAUUCUAUAAGGGAUGGUGUAUACAUGCUUUUUCCUUUCCUUUUGAGCUCUAUGAUCUUUUUCAGAAAUAUUUUAUUGAAGUAUAUCUACCCUAAAAAGUACACAUAAGUAUACAGCUUGAUGAAUUUUCACACAUUGAACACUCGUGUGUUAUAGGCCCCCAGAUCAGCAACAGAACAUGCUCAGCAUCCCAGAAGCAUCUCCUUAUGCUCCCUUCUACUCUAAUCUUUUAAAAAUUUCUUCCUUUUUAAUAAUGAAAAGGAAUCCUUGUUCGCUCUUGAAAAUUUUAAAAGUACAGAGAAGCAAAAGGAGAAAAACAUCAUACUCUCUUUGAGUGCAUAAAUUUUAACAUUUUGUGCAUCCUUUCAGUGUUUUCAGUGCCUAUAUGUGCACAUAAAUGUGUUGCUUGAACUAAAAUGGGGUCAGUAGAAUCAGAUUCUACUCUAUAAUAUGAAUCAGAUUCAUAUUAUACUGUCUAGCUUUUCUCACUUCAUACCACAUUGUGAACGUAUCUCCCUGUGAAUAAAUGCACAUCUAAUCCAUUGUUGUAAUGGUGAUGGGGAAUUCCGUUGAAUGGAUAUACCACAAUUUACUUAACCCAUCCCUUUUUCUUGGUCAUCUCUUAGAAAGUUGAAUAUUUAGAUGGUUCCCAUUUUCACUCUUAUAAACACUCUUCCA